AUGGAGGUGGCGACGGUGUUCCUGGAGACGAGCCUGGGCACCCGCCUCGCCGUCUCAUUCCCCGCCUCCGCCACCACCGUCGCCGACCUCAAGCGGAGAGUGAGCGAUGAACACGCCGCAGCUUUUCCCCACAUCGGCCACAUCGCCGUCCAAGCCAUCAAGGUGAACCAGGGAGGCUCCUUGUACCAGCUCACCGACUCCAUGGCCGUCCGGGAUGCCUUCCAGGGGGUCACCGGCGCCUGGCACCUCCAACUCCAACUCGAUGCUCUUCAUGUUGAUGCCCAUCAACAAGCUCCUCCUCAAGUGCCACACGCCUGCAACUGCAAACAUGAUUCAUCCAGCAGCAGGAGCUUUGCUGCUGCUUUGGGAUGCCAGAUUCUCACUCACCAGCACCAGCAGGCUCAACUUGAAGCCACCCACACUGAAACUGAAAGGCCACCCCGGGACAAGCAUAGGGCGGUUAAGAGGCCUGCUGCUGAUUCUGAUUUUGAUUUUGGCCUUCUCUCUGUCCACAAGGAACCACGCGGCAGCAUAAUAGCUGGGAACAUGUGCAAUGCUGCAAACAGCAAGCAAGAUGCACCUUGUGUUGAGGAACUGGACCAAGCUGAUCCUUGUUCACAAAUGCAAGUUGAGGAAAAGGAAACUUGGACACCCAAGGAAGCUGAUUCUUCACAACAACAAGAAGCAAUGCAGAACAAUGUCGAGGAAAAGGAGUCGCUGACAGCAAAGCUCUGUAACGGCGAUGAAAGCAGCAACAAAGAGACUGAUCAUCCACCACCACCUUGUGCCGCCGUGUCCACCAAAGAAGGCGAAAAUGAAGCUAUGCGAUGCAAAGUUGAUGAAAAUGGGACAUUGACAGCUAAGGCGGUGCGCAUUGACGAAAGAAACGACAACAGGAUGCAUCUUCCACCACCUUGUGCCGCCGAGUCCACCAAAAAAGGCGAUUCUUAUGAAAAAGAAGCAAUGACACGCCAAGUUGAGGAGAAGGAGCCAUUGGCAGCAAACGUGUGCAACGGCGAUGAAAGCAGCAACAAAGAGACCGAUCACCCAUCACCUUGUGCCGCCGAGGCCACCAAAGAAGGCGAUUCUUAUGAAAAAGAAGAAGCGAUAAAACACAAAGCUGAGGAAAAAGUGUGCAACAACGAAAGCAGCAGCAACUGGACUGAUCCUUCACCUGGCGACGGGUCCAUGAAUGAAGCUGAUUCUUCAGAAAAUGAAGUAAUGCAACAUGAAGCUGAGGAAAAGGAGCCAUGGACUGACAGUGUGUGCAAAGGGGGAGGAAGCAGCCACUGGAAUGAUCCGAUUGAAUGGACGGACGCAGAACAGAGGGCAUGGGAGAUGGCAUUGAAGAAAAGAAGGCGGCCGAGGACCACAGUGCGCAAAAUGCCCAACAGUAGGGCAGCCAAGCUGUAUGGCUACAGCUGA
This 1425-nucleotide ribosomal RNA is filed under the name Triticum aestivum (bread wheat). RNAcentral describes it as "partial small subunit ribosomal RNA". Lineage: Eukaryota; Viridiplantae; Streptophyta; Magnoliopsida; Poales; Poaceae. The record is from RNAcentral.